RNAcentral lists this microRNA (24 nucleotides) under Ananas comosus (pineapple). Its description in RNAcentral is "microRNA s1232_c025b". The record is from RNAcentral. Lineage: Eukaryota; Viridiplantae; Streptophyta; Magnoliopsida; Poales; Bromeliaceae.
AUGUGAGAAAUUGGGUGUCGGGAC